GAGUGGAAAUCUUCAAGUGCAUCAAAGGACACCCAGAGGGGAUAAAACUUUUAAAUGUUCAGGGUCUGGAAAGAGAUUCAGUAUGAGUCUUGCACAGCAUCUCAGAACAAAACACAUCGGAUAAACCUUUGGAAUACUUAGAAUGAGGAAAGAGAUUCAAUGAAAGAUACACGUAUGAGCAGCAUUUGAGAACCAACACAAAGGAGAACCUUUUCAGUAAGGCCCCUGUACCCUCUUCAUUUGAGACAUUUCAAUUUGAUCCCCAAUCUUCUCUUUGUUCUUUUGAAAACUGAAGGUGCAAUGUGGGAAUCUUUGGAAUAAGUUUGAGAGAGUGCUUCUACUGGUUAUGCCCAGAGCACAUCUCAUCAUGGAGGCAGGAUGUCACUGAGGCUUUUACAUAUAUCCCUCAGCCCCAAGGCAUGUAUACAACCAUAUCUCUACUUCAAAGAAUAUUUCAUCAAAGCAAAACAAGAUCAUUUCCAGUUAAUGGCAAUCUUCCCAGAGCCAUCAAAGCAGCCCAACAUCCAGUCAAAUCAAACAGACCUGAUCCUUUGAAAAUUUCCCCACACUGGAAUGUCAAGUGUCAUUUGCAACUCUUUUCAUUGAAUUUUUAGGGCCAUGGAAUAAGCCACACAUCCCACAACAAGGUUUUCUCUUUGGAGGUCAGCAAAGCAUAUGAAACCCAUUAUGUGGCUCAAGCCAGUGAGCUCAGCCAGAAACUUCUCUGUAUCGUCUGGCAGUUUUAUGGAAUAGAAUAUGGGAUUUCUAUAACUCAUAACAUUCCUUAGAAG
Long non-coding RNA from Sphaerodactylus townsendi, 791 nucleotides. RefSeq lists it as uncharacterized. The transcript is spliced from 2 exons. The record is from RefSeq and is a predicted model, not a curated record. Lineage: Eukaryota; Metazoa; Chordata; Lepidosauria; Squamata; Sphaerodactylidae.